RNAcentral lists this ribosomal RNA (411 nucleotides) under Actinomycetes bacterium. RNAcentral describes it as "Actinobacteria bacterium partial 16S ribosomal RNA". It matches the Rfam family "Bacterial small subunit ribosomal RNA", at positions 355 to 776 of the family's 1533-position model. The record is from RNAcentral. Lineage: Bacteria; Bacillati; Actinomycetota; Actinomycetes.
UGGGGAAUAUUGCACAAUGGGCGCAAGCCUGAUGCAGCGACGCCGCGUGGGGGAUGACGGCCUUCGGGUUGUAAACUCCUUUCGCUAGGGACGAAGCUUUUUGUGACGGUACCUAGAUAAGAAGCACCGGCUAACUACGUGCCAGCAGCCGCGGUAAUACGUAGGGUGCGAGCGUUGUCCGGAAUUACUGGGCGUAAAGAGCUCGUAGGUGGUUUGUCGCGUCGUCUGUGAAAUUCCGGGGCUUAACUCCGGGCGUGCAGGCGAUACGGGCAUAACUUGAGUACUGUAGGGGUAACUGGAAUUCCUGGUGUAGCGGUGAAAUGCGCAGAUAUCAGGAGGAACACCGAUGGCGAAGGCAGGUUACUGGGCAGUUACUGACGCUGAGGAGCGAAAGCAUGGGUAGCGAACAGG